RNAcentral lists this microRNA precursor (186 nucleotides) under Oryza rufipogon (brownbeard rice). Its description in RNAcentral is "MIR812 microRNA precursor family". It matches the Rfam family "MIR812 microRNA precursor family". The record is from Rfam by way of RNAcentral. Lineage: Eukaryota; Viridiplantae; Streptophyta; Magnoliopsida; Poales; Poaceae.
AAUAAGUGUAGUUUUACACUAUUCACAUUCAACGUUUGACCAUUCAUCUUAUUUAAAAAUUUUGUAUUAGAUAAUAAAAUAUGAAUAGUACUUUAUGUGUGGCUAUUUUUUUUAAUUAUUUCAUAAAUUUUUCAAAUAAGAAGGACGGUCAAACGUUGGACACGGAUAUCCACGGUUGUACUUAUU